This 82-nucleotide transfer RNA is filed under the name Bacteroidales bacterium. RNAcentral describes it as "tRNA-Leu". It matches the Rfam family "tRNA". Rfam says of the family: Transfer RNA (tRNA) molecules are approximately 80 nucleotides in length. Their secondary structure includes four short double-helical elements and three loops (D, anti-codon, and T loops). Lineage: Bacteria; Pseudomonadati; Bacteroidota; Bacteroidia; Bacteroidales. The record is from RNAcentral.
GCGGAUGUGGCGGAAUUGGUAGACGCGCCAGACUUAGGAUCUGGUUCCUUUGGGAGUGGGGGUUCGAGUCCCUUCAUCCGCA